AUGGCGCCGCCGGUUGUUCGGGAGCUUUGGGAGAUGGAAGAGCUCGUGGAAAAGAUCCUGCUCAGCAUUCCGCCGGAGGAGCCGGAGAUCCUCGUCCGCGCCUCCCUCGCCUGCAAACCUUGGUGCCGCCUCCUCUCCGGCAACGCGUUCCGCAGCCGCUACCUCGCCUUGCAUGGAACAGCUCCGGUCCUGGGCUUCCUGCAAAGCUGGGUGGCCGGCGACCUCGAGCGCUUCGUCCCCACAAAAAAGUUCUGCCCCCGCAGUCCCAUUCCCAAACUGAAGAGCACUUUCGUGCACGACUGCCGCCAUGGCCGUGUUCUUCUUGGGUGCCUGCAACAGCGCGAUGAAGCUGUCGUCUGGGAUCCCGUGUCCAGGAGGCGGACCGAACUGCGAGAGCCUGACUACUUCUGCGCAGCCGCGGUGCUCUGCUCCGUGGACGGCUGCGACCAUGCAGCCUGCAACUCGGGCCCGUUUUCCGUGGCUUGUAUCGAGGACGAGGGAUGCGUGGAUGAUGACGAACAUUCUCUCCUGCUGGCGUCUGUGUACUCAUCAUACACCCAGAAGUGGACUUCUCCGGCCUGUAUUCACAUAGGAUUUGUAUCGGACGACUGCUUCAUGGGAAGGCCUAGUCUCCUCAUCGGAAAACAACUCUACUUCCUCCUUGAUCAUGGUUUGGGCAUUCUCCGGUAUGACUUGAGUCGGCAUCGCCUGUCAGUUAUUGAUCUGCCAGAAAAGCUGGUUGAGCACAACCCUCUCCUUAUUUCGGGUCCCGGCGGUAGGCUGGGGGUCGUCCACCAGGACAAGCACGGCUUAUGCGUCGUGUACUCGAGGUGGAGCAUUGAUGGUGAGUAUCGUUGGUUCUAUAGCAGAGCAAUUGACCUCAAUAUGCUUCGCCCCAUUGUCCAUCCGAUGAGCUCACAUCCACCAGUGUUGGCUGGAUCUUUGGAGGGCACCGACCUGAGCAUUGUCGUCACAGAUCUUGGUGUCUUCACAUUUGAUCGCAAGUCCCUGAGU
This 1014-nucleotide ribosomal RNA is filed under the name Triticum aestivum (bread wheat). Its description in RNAcentral is "partial small subunit ribosomal RNA". The record is from RNAcentral. Lineage: Eukaryota; Viridiplantae; Streptophyta; Magnoliopsida; Poales; Poaceae.